CAAAACCGAACCGAACCGAACCAUUUUCAAAAAAUUGAAACCGAACCGACAUAGGUAGUAGACGGACCGAACCGAACCGCCUGGAGCCCGAAAACCGACCAUAACCGAACCGGCCGAAACCGAUCGGUUUCGGUCGGUUACCGAACCGACCGAUCUGCCCAAUUUUUUGAAAAACAGCCUGUAAUAUUCGAAAAAAAAAUAUAAAAAUCUGCCCAAAUCAAACCCCAAUCUAUGCAUUCAUUCGAUUUACCAACCACCAAAAAUUCGAAAAAAAAAAACUGACCAAAACAAACUUCAAAUUUUAAUCGAAAAAACAACAAAAAUUCGAUUUACCUUUCGGACGAGGGGAGAAAGGUGACGGGUGGAGGUCUGCGUGACUGCGUCAGGCUUCAGCGGCGGAGGAGAAGCCGAUCUGGAGUCCUGGACGGCGGGUCUGGGCCGUCUGGCUCG
Molecule: long non-coding RNA, 450 nt
Filed under: Salvia miltiorrhiza (redroot sage)
Lineage: Eukaryota; Viridiplantae; Streptophyta; Magnoliopsida; Lamiales; Lamiaceae
Description: long non-coding RNA (SMIL_LNC007281)
Source: RNAcentral